This is a long non-coding RNA of Ornithodoros turicata, 985 nucleotides long. RefSeq lists it as uncharacterized. The record is from RefSeq and is a predicted model, not a curated record. NCBI's taxonomy places the organism in Eukaryota, Metazoa, Arthropoda, Arachnida, Ixodida, Argasidae. The transcript has 2 exons.
CUCUCCGUUCCCCAGAUAUGGGCUUUGCAGUUGGAGGGUCAUGGCACUGGCGCCAGCAAGUCUGGCUGACGCCGCUCGGAGACGCUUCCGUGGGUGCCGUUCCUUUAGUGCCGUAAUCUCGCUUACCUAACGUCCAAUUUACUGGAAAUUUUGCAUGCGUGUUCUUCGUUCUUUGCUCUACAACUUUUCAAUUCGCACCUUCCGUCUAUUUACUACAGGUUAUGGCGUUAUUCCCGAAAUUCCUUAGGCUGACUCUCCUUCUGCGCACCUUCGUCCCUGUUUUUAGGUUUGAACCCUGUGGGAGAUCUGAAUCACCUAUUAAUGGAUUCGUGCACUCCGAACACCGAACGGCUAGAAACUUGCGGGAUCUUUUUAUCUCUCUCCAUUCUCGAGUGAGGACAAACAUGGCAAAAGCGGCUCGUUAUACAUGGGGCUGGGGGCAUUUUUUUCGAUGUCGGUUGUUUGUUGGCGUAGAAAUGUGAUUGAAGACUUAUUUUGACGGGAAAAACGUCCUCUUUCCAAUGGCACUGGUCACCCGUACGCGCGACUUUCUGCUUUCUGGAUGUAGCGCGAGGAGAGCAUGGUGGAGAGAGCCGUUACAGCCAGGUGGCGCCGUUGGAGCUUGGAAUUCCUCCAGCUCAUUUGGAAGGGAAAUCAUAGAAGCGUUCGGACGCAUGUCCAGAGAGCUCUCGUUCGGGAAGCGUCUUUCGUCGUAGUUUUGGUGGUUUUGGUGCCCCGCAGUGCUGUGACUGUAUUUCAUGCCUUACUAGUGGUAUCUGGACCUGUUUCUGUGUGUGUAUCUUGGAAGACCGAAAGCUGUUGGAUUUCGUGAAUUGAAGAUGCCUACAAGAAAUAUAUCUUAGAGCUGUCAUCUAGCAUGAUCUGUAAAGGUGUUGAAGACGCUGUACAUCAGGCAAGAGUGUGAUUGUUCAACAGACAUGUCACAGGGAUGAUGAACGAUAUCAAUAAAAAAUAAAAAAUAGAA